RNAcentral lists this ribosomal RNA (521 nucleotides) under uncultured bacterium. RNAcentral's name for it is "bacterial SSU rRNA". It matches the Rfam family "Archaeal small subunit ribosomal RNA", at positions 345 to 866 of the family's 1478-position model. The record is from RNAcentral.
AACCUCCGCAAUGUGAGAAAUCGCGACGGGGGGAUCCCAAGUGCCAUUCUUAACGGGAUGGCUUUUCAUUAGUGUAAAGAGCUUUUGGAAUAAGAGCUGGGCAAGACCGGUGCCAGCCGCCGCGGUAACACCGGCAGCUCUAGUGGUAACAAUUUUUAUUGGGCCUAAAGCGUCCGUAGCCGGUUUAAUAAGUCUCUGGUGAAAUCCUGUAGCUUAACUGUGGGAAUUGCUGGAGAUACUAUUAGACUUGAGACCGGGUGAGGUUAGAGGUACUCCCAGGGUAGAGGUGAAAUUCUGUAAUCCUGGGAGGACCGCCUGUUGCGAAGGCGUCUAACUGGAACGGUUCUGACGGUGAGGGACGAAAGUUAGGGGCGCGAACCGGAUUAGAUACCCGGGUAGUCCUAACUGUAAACGAUGCGGACUUGGUGUUGGGGUGGCUUUGAGCUGCUCCAGUGCCGAAGGGAAGCUGUUAAGUCCGCCGCCUGGGAAGUACGGUCGCAAGACUGAAACUUAAAGGAAUU